AGCUGGAUGAAUGUUUAACUUCUAGGCCAGGCACUACUCUGUCCCAACAAUAAGCCCUGUACAUUGGGAAAGGUGCCGAGACAUGAACUUUGGUCUUCUCUGCAAUCCAUCUGGAGCAUUCACUGACAACAUCGACUUUGAAGUUGCACUGACCUGGCCAGCCCUGCCACUUACCAGGUUGGAUAACACUAACAAAGUUGACCUUAGAAUUGGAGUGCCUGGGUUAGAACCCUGCUGGUACCACCUGCUUACUGCAUGCUUCUGAUGUGAGUUCAGGAGAAGACACUGGCAAGGACAGCAAAGAACAGGAGAACACUCUAGCUUCCCUGAUAGCAUUCAAGGUGCUGUCCAAACUGACUGUGAUGGCACCCUCCAGACAGACAGCGAUGCCACAUGUUCAAGAUGGCAGAAUCACUAUCAGCUUCAAUUCCUGAAUGACUGCAGAGCAAAAUUUCUUACCUGCAACAUACACUCUAUUUUCAGCCUCCCUGGACUGUUACAUAAUGAUACAUAAAAAUAUUUCUUGUGUUGAGGCAUCCCAAAUUUGAUUUAUUUGUCAUCACAGUCUAUCCUAUGAAUAUAUUUCUGAUCCAAAUAAUGCUAGAUUCAUGAGAGUUUAUAGUCCAGAGAUUUUUUUUUUUUUUUUGAGACAGAAUCUGUCUCCCAGGCUGGGGUGCAGUGGCAUAAUCUUAGCUCACUGCAACCUCUGCCUCCCGGGCUCAAGUGAUCCUCCCUCCUUAGCCUCCAUGAGUAGCUGGGACCACAGGUGUGCACCACCACACCCCGCUAAUUAUUUUGUAUUUUUUGCAGAGGGGGGUUUCACCACAUUGCCCAAGCUGGUCUCAAACUCCUAGACUUAAGGGAUCUGCCUGCCUUGGCCUCCCAAAAUGCUGAAAUUACACUUGUUAGCCAUAGUAAUAGUUCCUAGCCAUAGUCCGGAGAUAUUUUAAAAACUUUAGUGUGAGUUAUUUCUCUUUGCUAUAAUUCUCUCAUGCAUUUUGAAAACCUUUUCUGCCAUACAGUGGUUUUUGGGAAGUCCUUUUGGACAGACAUAUCACAGGAUGGAGAAACUAAAAAGAGAGAAUGCAUUAAAGAAAAAAUAGUACUUCGUAUUUCAGAAAUUACAAAAGGGUGUCAUGCCCCACAGCAUGGUGGGCAGUCAUUUGUAACCCACAGAACAUUGAGUUUCUAAAAUUUGAGUGUUUUUAACUUACGAAGGCCAACUUUACUGAUGAAGUGAUUACCCCAAAUAUGUGAAAUCCAUAUUUCAAGUACAAUAGUAGGAAAUUGGAAAUGGGUAGGUAUAUUUCUGACUGUCAAAGAGUACAAAGUAAAGAGGGGCCCCUGAAGAGUGACACUACUGGAAAAACAGAAGAAAAAAAAAA
Molecule: long non-coding RNA, 1385 nt
Filed under: Homo sapiens (human)
Lineage: Eukaryota; Metazoa; Chordata; Mammalia; Primates; Hominidae
Description: cancer susceptibility 19
Source: RNAcentral